UACGUAGGUGGCAAGCGUUGUCCGGAAUUAUUGGGCGUAAAGCGCGCGCAGGCGGUCCUUUAAGUCUGAUGCGAAAGCCCACGGCUCAACCGUGGAGGGUCAUUGGAAACUGGGGGACUUGAGUACAGAAGAGAAGAGUGGAAUUCCACGUGUAGCGGUGAAAUGCGUAGAGAUGUGGAGGAACACCAGUGGCGAAGGCGACUCUUUGGUCUGUAACUGACGCUGAGGCGCGAAAGCGUGGGGAGCAAACAGG
RNAcentral lists this ribosomal RNA (253 nucleotides) under uncultured bacterium. RNAcentral's name for it is "partial 16S ribosomal RNA". It matches the Rfam family "Bacterial small subunit ribosomal RNA", at positions 524 to 776 of the family's 1533-position model. The record is from RNAcentral.